Molecule: ribosomal RNA, 483 nt
Filed under: uncultured bacterium
Lineage: Bacteria
Description: partial 16S ribosomal RNA
Rfam family: Bacterial small subunit ribosomal RNA
Source: RNAcentral
GACGAACGCUGGCGGCGUGCUUAACACAUGCAAGUCGAACGCUGAAGCUCAGCUUUUGUUGGGUGGAUGAGUGGCGAACGGGUGAGUAACACGUGAGUAACCUGCCCCCUUCUUUGGGAUAACGCCCGGAAACGGGUGCUAAUACUGGAUAUUCACUGGUCUUCGCAUGGGGGUUGGUGGAAAGGGUUUUUCUGGUGGGGGAUGGGCUCGCGGCCUAUCAGCUUGUUGGUGGGGUGAUGGCCUACCAAGGCUUUGACGGGUAGCCGGCCUGAGAGGGUGACCGGUCACAUUGGGACUGAGAGACGGCCCAGACUCCUACGGGAGGCAGCAGUGGGGAAUAUUGCACAAUGGGCGCAAGCCUGAUGCAGCGACGCCGCGUGAGGGAUGGAGGCCUUCGGGUUGUGAACCUCUUUCGCUCAUGGUCAAGCCGCAACAAUGGUUGUGGUGAGGGUAGUGGGUAAAGAAGCGCCGGCUAACUACGUG